GAAAAGAAUAGUUUUGACAUUCUGGAUGUUCUCUAUAAGAGAUUAUUCACAGGAUGGCUGGAUGGUUUGCACGGAAAAGGAUGUGACUAUUCCACCUCUUUGUCCUUUUGUCGGUUUUGGAAGCAAAUUGAAAUUUUAAAAGUGUGGUAUGUCCAACCAAAUUUAACUUCCAGUUUAGGUUCCAAUAUGGGAAAGCUCUAACAUAGCUUAAAUUCUGAAAUUAGAUUGAGAAAUCAGAGCCACAACAGUCCAAGAACAAUCUUUUAAUCGCCAUCAUGGUCAACUCUUUACUGGUAAGUUUGCAGAAGAUAUGCAAAAAAAAAAUACGGCGUAUGUAAUUUGCAUUAAAGAUUUACA
RNAcentral lists this long non-coding RNA (357 nucleotides) under Cyanistes caeruleus (blue tit). RNAcentral describes it as "lncRNA (ENSCCEG00000004563.1)". Lineage: Eukaryota; Metazoa; Chordata; Aves; Passeriformes; Paridae. The record is from RNAcentral.